AGUUUCAAAACAGGCUCUGCAGAAGGAUGAGCUAGACAGACACUUCCCUCUAUUUGACUCAACCAACAGCCCAAUCCACAGGAAUAUGUGCAGUAAACUCAGCACUACCCUAGGAGGGUCAGGGUCUAAACUCUGCUGUACUGGGGUAAAUUACUAUUCUAGGAGGGAACAAUACAUUCAGAAUAACAACUAACAGUUAAGCUGGAAUAAGAACGGGAAAUCACAAUAGGGCGAAAGCGAAAGGACUCUGGACCAGGAAUUCGUGACCUACCAAAGCUAAAAGAGCUGCUGCCGGUUAUUACCGGGCAAAUCACUAACAUCACUGGAGCCUCAGCUUUUCUAAUCCAUUAAAUGGUUGGUUAAUCUAAAUGAGGUGUCCUAGACCGUUGGAAUCUGUGGCCUAUUUUUCCUAGGGGAAUGGCCUAUAACUUGCUAUUUUCCAAAGGGCCGAGAAUAGUUUAAUGUGCAGUAAAGGACGCUGGUGGGAGGGGGGUAGAAGGGGGCUGAGACCCCACCCCACCCCGCCGCCUGCAGCAGGCUCCCGGACGGCUCGGGGAGCGUCCCCCGCCUGGGUGCCCACCUGAUUCCCUUGGCCUUCAGGACUAGACGCGUCCUCUCAGCAAACGGGCAGAACCUCAUGCUGUAGAUGCGGAUCGAGCCCUCCGGGACCGGCCCCGGGGGCGCGCUUCCUGCCGGGGAGAAGCGAAGGCGAUUACGGCCCAGAGAGGUGUCGAGACCCCCCGUAUCCCACCGCCCCCGCGUCCCACUGCAGCUCCGACCCGUUCCCCGCCGGUGGGGCGCUCCCGGGCGGCUGGGCUCCCGGAGCAGCCUCGAACAUGCCGCCGGGGGUCGCCGAGAUCACCCCCUCUUCGCGGCGGGCAGGCCUCACCCUUCCCCAAGCUCCUGGCUGACUCCCCGGACAUCGUGGCGCAGCGCAGGCCGAGCUCCUCUGGGGUUUGCAGGGGAUUCAGGAAGUAGGUGGCGCGUCCUUCCCGCCCUCCUUCCCUCCCCCGCUUCCUCC
Molecule: long non-coding RNA, 1021 nt
Filed under: Homo sapiens (human)
Lineage: Eukaryota; Metazoa; Chordata; Mammalia; Primates; Hominidae
Description: non-protein coding lnc-CFAP43-6:1
Source: RNAcentral